ACACAUGCAAGUCGAGCGGAAACGAUGGUAGCUUGCUACCAGGCGUCGAGCGGCAGACGGGUGAGUAACGCGUGAGAAUCUGCCCAUUUGUGGGGGAUAACUCGGGGAAACUCGAGCUAAUACCGCAUAAUCCCUACGGGGGAAAGCAGGGGACCUUCGGGCCUUGUGCAGAUGGAUGAGCUCGCGUCGGAUUAGCUUGUUGGUGAGGUAAAGGCUCACCAAGGCGACGAUCCGUAGCUGGUCUGAGAGGAUGAUCAGCCACACCGGGACUGAGACACGGCCCGGACUCCUACGGGAGGCAGCAGUGGGGAAUCUUGGACAAUGGGGGCAACCCUGAUCCAGCCAUGCCGCGUGUGUGAAGAAGGCCUUCGGGUUGUAAAGCACUUUCAGUAGGGAGGAAGGCUUACCGCUAAUAACGGUGAGUACUUGACGUUACCUACAGAAGAAGCACCGGCUAAUUUCGUGCCAGCAGCCGCGGUAAUACGAAAGGUGCGAGCGUUAAUCGGAAUUACUGGGCGUAAAGCGCGCGUAGGCGGUUUGUUAAGUCAGAUGUGAAAGCCCCGGGCUCAACCUGGGAAUUGCAUUUGAAACUGGCAGGCUAGAGUGCAGUAGAGGGAGGUGGAAUUUCCGGUGUAGCGGUGAAAUGCGUAGAGAUCGGAAGGAACACCAGUGGCGAAGGCGGCCUCCUGGACUGACACUGACGCUGAGGUGCGAAAGCGUGGGGAGCAAACAGGAUUAGAUACCCUGGUAGUCCACGCCGUAAACGAUGUCUACUAGUCGUUGGGAAUCUUAGUAUUCUUGGUGACGAAGUUAACGCGAUAAGUAGACCGCCUGGGGAGUACGGGCCGCAAGGUUAAAACUCAAAUGAAUUGACGGGGGCCCGCACAAGCGGUGGAGCAUGUGGUUAAUUCGAUGCAACGCGAAGAACCUUACCAGGCCUUGACAUCCUUGGAACUUUCUAGAGAUAGAUUGUGCUUCGGGAGCAAGUGACAGGUGCUGCAUGCUGUCGUCAGCUCGUGUCGUGAGAUGUGGGUAAGUCCGUACGAGCGCAACCCUUGUCCUAGUUGCCAGCACUUCGGGUGGGAACUCUAAGGA
Molecule: ribosomal RNA, 1095 nt
Filed under: uncultured Alcanivorax sp.
Lineage: Bacteria; Pseudomonadati; Pseudomonadota; Gammaproteobacteria; Oceanospirillales; Alcanivoracaceae
Description: bacterial SSU rRNA
Rfam family: Bacterial small subunit ribosomal RNA
Source: RNAcentral